Non-coding RNA from Massospora cicadina, 72 nucleotides. The record is from the annotation of a GenBank genome assembly. Lineage: Eukaryota; Fungi; Entomophthoromycota; Entomophthoromycetes; Entomophthorales; Entomophthoraceae.
UCCUUCAUGGUCCAGUGGUUAGGAUUCUCCGCUUUCACUUGAGCGGUCUGGGUUCAAUUCCCCGUGAGGGAG